This is a long non-coding RNA of Populus trichocarpa (black cottonwood), 2202 nucleotides long. RefSeq lists it as uncharacterized. The record is from RefSeq and is a predicted model, not a curated record. NCBI's taxonomy places the organism in Eukaryota, Viridiplantae, Streptophyta, Magnoliopsida, Malpighiales, Salicaceae. The transcript is spliced from 3 exons.
UCUCUGUCUCUUAGUUAAUGCAACGGUCAUUUUUUUUUUGAAUUCUCCGUAAUAAUCCAGCAUCUCUCUCUCUCUAAAUCUCAACAUUUUUCAAUCUCAAAUGAAAAUCUCUCUCUCUCUCUCUCUCUCUCUCUCUAGGAAGUAGAAGCAAUAAUACACUUUUAGCCGUUCAAAUUCUAUGUAAGAAGGUUUGAUUCUUCUUGUAAUCAUAUGGAAUUUCAAUUUCGAUCAAAGAGAGAAUCUUCAUGUCAUUCAAGUUCUCUAUAGUACCCAUCUCUUCCUCUCUCGCUAUAAAUAUAUAAUUUAUUCUUCUUCUUUCUGGAUUUUGCUUUUAUUUUGGUUAGUCUUUAACUUUUUGAUUUUUUUAAGUAUACUACAGACAUUUUCGUGUAAGCUUUGUCUCGUUUCUCUGUUUGAUGUGUUCUUUAAUUUUCUGUUCACUGUAACGUAUGAUUUCUUGAAUUUAUUAAGGGAUUGGAGGAUUUUCAGAGUUAAAGUUUGGAUCUUUUAGAUUUCACGCUCUAUCCAUGGCAGGCAAAUAAAUUCCCCAUUAACGUUUUCCCUUGUGCUCUUGAUGCACGUUAAAAGAUGCAAGCAGAUCAAUAAAUACGGUCAAUUGAACCAAAGGAGAGAGAUCAAAUUUCAAACUUGAUGGAAGUGAAAAUUAUGUUCGUUGGCAUUUGUCUCUUCCUUUGAAUUCUGAAUUUCUGCUCUGGGAAUAAAGGGAAUGGGAGCUGAUGGAGCAACACUUCAAUGUGGGGGUCAGUUUCUUUUCCUUUUGCUUUUCGAUUUCACUUUAAAGUCUUACUUCUGAUUUUAUUUGAAGAAAACCCAGCUAAGCUAAAAAUUUCAUGCUGCUUCUUUGAAUUGUGGGAUUCUUAUUUGAUUGGAAUAGGCAGGUGGGUUUGGGAGUGAUUUCUGCCUUGUCUUAUUUUCUUGAAGAGUUGUCCUUAAUUUUUCAUAACUAAACAAUGCUUUAUCACUGCUAUUUAUCCAAAAUCAAUUUUGAAUCUUCUGCCCAUCUUCUUUUUCAUGUGUUUUUGGGUUCUUUUCAUGUAUUUUUUUUAUUUAUAUAUAAAUAAAUACUUUUCUUGAUAGUAAAAUCGUUGAGAAAUUCGUAGAACCUAAGGAAUGAAGAGUCUAACAAUCAUCAAUUUGCCAUUCUCAUAGGGCCAGGGAUAUGGUAAAUUGAUUUGCUGAUGUGAUAUGAUAUGAUAUUUCUCUUUUUGACUUAUAUUUGGAAUUGAUUUUCUACAUAUACAUGAUUUUUUAGGUGAUUUAAUAUAUUGGUGAACUUGUCAGAUCUCUAAUAGAUGAUAAGAGAGAGCGCUUUGUAUACAAUGCAUUGAUGGUAUGCUUCUGUUGAGAAUGUUGUCAUUUCCUUACUCUUUGUAUGCAUGUAUUUGUCAUCUAGCACAACUACAAACUAUCAUCCUAAAACUAAUGUGAUUAUUUGUGAAAGUUUGACUGCUUACUGUGUUGAAGUCCUCUACAAAGCUGUUGAGAUCAAAGUUUACCUCUUCUUUUCCUUGUUGAUGUAGGGUGUGCUGGGACUUGUAUGUUUAGAUCAAACUUUAUAGCAUUUGAUUAAUCACAAGGGCUGAAAGUAUUGCUCAUCUAAUUAAUCACUCGUGUGAGGUGUGUAUCAUCUGUUCAUCCUGUUUAAUAGUCUUUCUAUUGCAUGUGAAAAUAUGUAUUGAAAAGGUCUAUGCCAUUUAUGAUUUAUAUAAAAGCUUUAUGAUUAAGUUUUGACAGAUAAAUUCAUUCAACUUUAUUGCAUUUUUUCAAACUUGCUUGAAUAUGAAAGGUCACAUGGAUAAUAUGCUUCUGAUGUUGUUAUUUAUAGAUUACAUUGUUGGUGUGGCUGUAGGGAAUUAUGUAUGUUGUGUCUCUUCCUUUGAUUUCUGAAUUCUUGCUCUGGAAUCAAGCGAAUGAGAGCUGAUGGAGCAACUCUUCAAUGUGUUGUUUUGUGUAUGCAAAUAUAAAAAUUGGUAUGUCGAGAGGAGGAUUAUUGAGGACAAAUUGAAAAUUCUUAAAAUUUGGUAUGUUGUAUAAUAGUUCUCUUAGGAUUUUCAGCAGUAUUGUGGACAUGGUUGAUGGUACUUCCUGAUAUUCUUUCUGGCAAAUUUCUCAAAGAGGACAUUAAUGUUUCAUGUUACCAUCUUCUAAGACACGAUAUUCUUUUGAGUUUGAUUCCCUUCA